This 28-nucleotide small RNA is filed under the name Bombyx mori (domestic silkworm). Its description in RNAcentral is "ovarian small RNA-10501". The record is from RNAcentral. Lineage: Eukaryota; Metazoa; Arthropoda; Insecta; Lepidoptera; Bombycidae.
AAGACCGUCGCGGGGAGGGACCGACAUA